GGCAAGGAUGACCCCUCUGCAAGCCAACCAAUCCUAAAUCCUCACCUCCGUCAACCCUUAACCCCCCCCCUUGAUGAAUGCAACUUUCCACCUUUAAGCUUCCCUAUCAUCUCAGUGCUUUGCUAUUUCCCAGGACUCCGCAAAUGUGACUGGCUGCCUGACGCAAACUCUCACUGCACCGAGGAAAUGUCCCAGAGCUUUUGUGUGCCAAGCUGUGACGGCUCAUCUAUCACUGAGGCCGCAAAUACACAUUACACUCCCAUUACAGACCAUCACAGCAACAACCGCAACAGUACACAGUCCGGAGGAAAGGCCCACUGCGAGGAGCUGCAUUUACACACGUCCACCAUUUCGCGCAAAAGAAACGAAGCAGUGAGCUUACCUGUGUAUCUGUCACUUGCUGACGCGUCACUGGGACAGACAAAGUCACUUCAAUACAGGUCACACUAACGCAAUGCACUAUGGGAUCUUCUCGGUUCCUCUACUUCUUUCACUCGUCACUCUCCCCCUCUCAUAAUAGCACCUUCUGCUUGGCAACGGUCAAACCACAAAUGUGGUCAGGUUUGCAACGAACCAUCACUGCGCAACAUCA
This is a long non-coding RNA of Gasterosteus aculeatus aculeatus (three-spined stickleback), 592 nucleotides long. The record is from Ensembl. Lineage: Eukaryota; Metazoa; Chordata; Actinopteri; Perciformes; Gasterosteidae.